AUGGCCGCGCCCGCGCUCCUCACCCUCCUGCUCCUCCUCCUCACGCUCGCCCUGUCCUCCGCCUCCGGGGCUCCGGUCGGGGAGGAUUACGUCCGGCCGCCGGCCCGGCCCCGCGCGGGCCAGCGGAAGGCCCUCCUCGGCCUCUUCCCCUGGAGCAAGAAGAAGGCCUCCGCUUCCGCCUCCGAUCCCCAGCAGGUGCACAUUUCACUAUCUGGAGAGAAGCACAUGAGAAUUACAUGGGUCACAGAUGAUAACUCUGUCCCCUCAGUUGUGGACUAUGGAACUAAGUCCAACGCAUACACAUCCUCAUCUAAUGGAGAAAGCACGUCCUACAGCUACUUAAUGUACAGCUCAGGAAAGAUCCACCAUGUUGUUAUUGGACCUCUUGAAGACAACACUAUAUACUACUACCGAUGCGGAGGACGAGGUUCAGAAUUCCAACUUAAGACACCCCCCUCCCAGUUCCCGCUGUCAUUGGCUGUUGUAGGCGAUCUUGGGCAGACCAGUUGGACAACAUCAACAUUAAACCACAUUAAGCAAUGUGAAUAUGAUAUGCUCUUACUUCCCGGUGAUCUCUCUUAUGCUGAUUAUAUGCAACAUUUGUGGGAUUCCUUUGGUGAGUUGGUGGAGCCACUUGCUAGCACCCGGCCCUGGAUGGUGACACAAGGCAACCAUGAAAAGGAGAGGAUACCAUUUUUCAAGUCUGGAUUUCAAUCAUAUAAUGCGCGAUGGAAGAUGCCUUAUGAAGAGAGUGGUUCCACAUCAAAUUUGUACUACUCAUUUGAGGUUGCAGGGGUGCAUGUCAUAAUGCUAGGUUCUUAUACAGAUUAUGAUGAGAGUUCGGAUCAGUAUGCUUGGCUUAAGUCUGAUCUUGCCAACAUAGAUAGAAAGAGGACCCCAUGGCUCGUUGUUCUGUUGCACGUGCCAUGGUAUAACAGCAACUGGGCUCAUCAGGGUGAAGGUGACAGUAUGAUGAGUGCGAUGGAGCCUUUGCUACAUGCCGCUCAUGUGGAUAUUAUAAUCUCAGGUCACGUGCACGCUUAUGAACGCACGAUGAUCAUUUCGCUGUUUGUGCAGGAGCGAGUCUACAAAGGUGGGGUUAAUCCAUGUGGUGCUGUUCAUAUAACUAUUGGUGAUGGUGGAAACCGGGAAGGCUUGGCCCGCAGGUAUCAUAACCCGAAACCCCUCUGGUCGGUGUUCCGGGAAGCAAGCUUUGGGCAUGGUGAGCUGAAGAUCAUCAACUCCACGCACGCGCACUGGACUUGGCACAGGAACGACGACGAAGAGCCGGUGAGAACAGAUGACGUGUGGAUAACCUCGCUGGCUGGUUCGCAGUGCGUCCAGGACAGCAGCAGCCCUGAGUUCAGGAAGAUACUCAUGUCCCCUUGA
RNAcentral lists this ribosomal RNA (1389 nucleotides) under Triticum aestivum (bread wheat). RNAcentral's name for it is "partial small subunit ribosomal RNA". Lineage: Eukaryota; Viridiplantae; Streptophyta; Magnoliopsida; Poales; Poaceae. The record is from RNAcentral.